Molecule: long non-coding RNA, 712 nt
Filed under: Physcomitrium patens
Lineage: Eukaryota; Viridiplantae; Streptophyta; Bryopsida; Funariales; Funariaceae
Description: long non-coding RNA (PPAT_LNC006180)
Source: RNAcentral
AAGCAAGAUGUGCAGGGACUGUACUGCUUUCAAACUCAGGGCAAUCAGCUGGAGCAUUUGUUCACGCAGAUGGGCACCUACAUGUUCCACUUCUCCCUGGUGAGCUCAAAAUACAAAGAGGUACCUCCAGCAGUAGUGCGUAUUAACGUGGCGCCCUCGAACACUGACAUGUGCGAUGCACGCUGCUUAGAACAGCCCAAAAGGAAGCGCAGAAGACCACGUGAAGACACGUCUGAAGCCACAAUACAGGAGUACACACACUUAGACUGCUAAUAUUUUUUUGUUCCACACACGAGUCUGAAUUAGCGUAUUUUUCAAGUCAAAACUAUAGUAUUGAUGUAGUGAGCGUCUUUGUUAUGUGCAGUGGUUCUUUAGACGUGGCACCCAUUGAUGAUGGGCUCGAGGAUGAUUUUGAAGAGCCUCCUCAUAUAGUGAACACAAAAAUCCAUGUCACGACCCUCGAUGUGAUUGUUUCAGUAAGUCUCGAGACUCAACUCAAAAACAUUGCGGUUAACGCAGAGUGGUGACUCUACGAUGAUGAGUUUGAACCCAUCCAAUGCCUUUUCUCACCUUGAAUACAGGUGAACGGGUUUUUUGCGAUUGCGGUAUUUUUGGGAUUAGCACUCAGCCCCCCGUUGCCUCAGUUUCAGGCAGCUACAACACUUGCGCCAGCCAGAUUGGAGUGCUGGCCACAAAUUAACGCUUACCGCUC